UAGCGUUGCUCGGAAUCACUGGGAGUAAAGCGCCCGUAGGCGGAUUGCUAAGUCAGGGGUGAAAUCCUGGAGCUCAACUCCAGAACUGCCUUUGAUACUGGCGAUCUUGAGUCCGGGAGAGGUGAGUGGAACUGCGAGUGUAGAGGUGAAAUUCGUAGAUAUUCGCAAGAACACCAGUGGCUAAGGCUUCUCACUGGCCCGGUACUGACGCUGAGGUGCGAAAGCGUGGGGAGCAAACAGG
This 241-nucleotide ribosomal RNA is filed under the name uncultured bacterium. RNAcentral describes it as "partial 16S ribosomal RNA". It matches the Rfam family "Bacterial small subunit ribosomal RNA", at positions 536 to 776 of the family's 1533-position model. The record is from RNAcentral.